RNAcentral lists this ribosomal RNA (497 nucleotides) under uncultured bacterium. RNAcentral describes it as "partial 16S ribosomal RNA". It matches the Rfam family "Bacterial small subunit ribosomal RNA", at positions 28 to 507 of the family's 1533-position model. The record is from RNAcentral.
GACGAACGCUGGCGGCGUGCCUAAUACAUGCAAGUAGAACGCUGAAGAGAGGAGCUUGCUCUUCUUGGAUGAGUUGCGAACGGGUGAGUAACGCGUAGGUAACCUGCCUUGUAGCGGGGGAUAACUAUUGGAAACGAUAGCUAAUACCGCAUAACAAUGGAUGACCCAUGUCAUUUAUUUGAAAGGGGCAAAUGCUCCACUACAAGAUGGACCUGCGUUGUAUUAGCUAGUAGGUGAGGUAACGGCUCACCUAGGCGACGAUACAUAGCCGACCUGAGAGGGUGCUCGGCCACACUGGGACUGAGACACGGCCCAGACUCCUACGGGAGGCAGCAGUAGGGAAUCUUCGGCAAUGGGGGCAACCCUGACCGAGCAACGCCGCGUGAGUGAAGAAGGUUUUCGGAUCGUAAAGCUCUGUUGUAAGUCAAGAACGAGUGUGAGAGUGGAAAGUUCACACUGUGACGGUAGCUUACCAGAAAGGGACGGCUAACUACGUG